Long non-coding RNA from Tripterygium wilfordii, 504 nucleotides. RefSeq lists it as uncharacterized. The record is from RefSeq and is a predicted model, not a curated record. The transcript has 2 exons. Lineage: Eukaryota; Viridiplantae; Streptophyta; Magnoliopsida; Celastrales; Celastraceae.
AAAGACCUGGUAGACAUGACCAGUAGCUGAGAUAUUUUGUUGAAAUCUUAGUUGUUCGUAGUUUCUUCCUUAGUUCGGGGUCUUUACUUUCGGCACAAGUGCUCGAUCGAGGGUUCUCCCCGUUGUUUGCAGGAUUCGAAGGUGCAAACGAGCCUCCAUAUCAUCAAGAUUGACUUUUUAAUGAUUGUAGAAAUUGUCCCUCCAAGAGGGUCUGCUGAUUUUGUCUCAUGGCCAUCAAGAAGGUAAUCAUGGUAUGGAAAUGUAGUUUGAGGCUGCUGCAUGAUGGGCCAGGAGUUGCUGUUGGCAAAUUGUUUUUUCGGGAGACUAUGCUAUGACUGUACGUGCUCAAAUUAUAUCUGCGUGUAUUUUCAUGUGUAUGUUGUGUCAGCAAUACUAGCUAUAAAAGUUGGACAAUGGCGGAUUAAUUCUCUGGACACAGAUACAGCAAUGUCAAUAGUCAGCAAAAUUCAUCAACAGAAUAUAUAGAAGUUCAAAAUCAUUUUA